Molecule: ribosomal RNA, 253 nt
Filed under: uncultured bacterium
Lineage: Bacteria
Description: partial 16S ribosomal RNA
Rfam family: Bacterial small subunit ribosomal RNA
Source: RNAcentral
UACAGAGGGUGCAAGCGUUGUUCGGAAUUACUGGGCGUAAAGCGCACGUAGGCGGCUUUGUAAGUUAGAGGUGAAAGCCCGGGGCUCAACUCCGGAAUUGCCUUUAAGACUGCAUCGCUAGAAUUGUGGAGAGGUAAGUGGAAUUCCGAGUGUAGAGGUGAAAUUCGUAGAUAUUCGGAAGAACACCAGUGGCGAAGGCGACUUACUGGACACAUAUUGACGCUGAGGUGCGAAAGCGUGGGGAGCAAACAGG